AACGCACAUUGCGCCCCCUGGCAUUCCGGGGGGCAUGCCUGUCCGAGCGUCAUUUCUGCCCUCAAGCGCGGCUUGUGUGUUGGGCGUGGUCCCCCGGCCCCGGGGGACCUGCCCCAAAGGCAGCGGCGACGUCCCGUCUAGGUCCUCGAGCGUAUGGGGCUUUGUCACCCGCUCGGGAGGGGCCUGCGGGCGUUGGUCACCCCUAUUUCUUAUUGUACGGUUGACCUCGGAUCAGGUAGGAGUUACCCGCUGAACUUAA
This 259-nucleotide unclassified non-coding RNA is filed under the name Talaromyces sp. RNAcentral describes it as "partial contains 5.8S ribosomal RNA, internal transcribed spacer 2, and large subunit ribosomal RNA". Lineage: Eukaryota; Fungi; Ascomycota; Eurotiomycetes; Eurotiales; Trichocomaceae. The record is from RNAcentral. RNAcentral also lists the same sequence under 1 other name.